UUGAAUGGCCGCGGUAUUUUGACUGUGCUAAGGUAGCAUAAUCAUUAGUUUUUUAAUUAAAAGCUGGAAUGAAGGGUUGAAUGAAAAAAUAACUGUCUUAAAUUGAAUUAUUUUGAAUUUUAUUUUUAAGUUAAAAAGCUUAAAUGUUUUUAAAAGACGAGAAGACCCUAUAGAGUUUAAUUUUUAUAAGUUAAUUUUUUAUUUAGAAUUAAUCCAAGAUUGAAAUUUAAAAUUUUAAUUGGGGUGAUUAUAAAAUUUAAUUAACUUUUUUUGUAUAUAAAUAUUCAUAGAUAAAUUUUUGAUCCAAUAAUUUUGAUUAAAAGAUUAAUUACCUCAAGGAUAACAGGGUAAUUUUAUAUUAGAGUU
Molecule: ribosomal RNA, 366 nt
Filed under: Philopona vibex
Lineage: Eukaryota; Metazoa; Arthropoda; Insecta; Coleoptera; Chrysomelidae
Description: partial 16S ribosomal RNA
Source: RNAcentral